Molecule: non-coding RNA, 107 nt
Organism: Gossypium raimondii (Peruvian cotton)
Lineage: Eukaryota; Viridiplantae; Streptophyta; Magnoliopsida; Malvales; Malvaceae
Source: Rfam
AGACCAUGGGGUGGGCAUCUUUGUAUCAGCAUUUUAAAACGUUCCCAGGCUUCGUGAAAGCUUUCUCCUUCUAGCUGCUUAAAGGUAGCGAUCUCUCUUCUUAGUUA